GGCAGUGUGGUCUAGUGGUUUGAGCAUUGGACUCUGGAGACCAGGGUUCGAAUCCCCGCUUGGCCA
This 66-nucleotide transfer RNA is filed under the name Phrynosoma platyrhinos (Desert horned lizard). RNAcentral's name for it is "tRNA-OTHER". The record is from RNAcentral. Lineage: Eukaryota; Metazoa; Chordata; Lepidosauria; Squamata; Phrynosomatidae.